This 1908-nucleotide ribosomal RNA is filed under the name Rubifabriciola flammula. Its description in RNAcentral is "SSU rRNA". It matches the Rfam family "Eukaryotic small subunit ribosomal RNA". The record is from RNAcentral. Lineage: Eukaryota; Metazoa; Annelida; Polychaeta; Sabellida; Fabriciidae.
UAAGCCAUGCACGUGUAAGUACAGACCUCUCUGAGAGGUGACACCGCGAACGGCUCAUUAGAUCGAUCUCUACCUAUUCGGGAGUACGAGCCCCUGGGUCUCCGGGCCUGGGAGUGCUAUGUGGAUAACUGUGGCAAUUCUAGAGCUAAUACAUGCGUGACGAGUCCGGUUCCCUUGUGGAAUCGGGCGCUUUUAUUAGACUGCGAUUCAGGGGGGAAACCUCCGGUCGUUGGUGACUCUGGAUAACUUUACAGCCGAGAACUCGAAAAGCCCUCCGGGGUGAGUUCCGUCCCGUUCGGGAGUUCGACCUAUCAAAUUUCGACGGUAGUCGACUUGACUACGGUGUUGCUGACGGGUAACGGGGAAUCUGGGUUCGAUUCCGGAGAGGGAGCCUGAGAAACGGCUACCACGUCCAAGGAAGGCAGCAGGCGCGCAAAUUACCCACUCCCGGCACGGGGAGGUAGUGACGAAAAAUACCGAUGCGGGGCUCCACACGGAGCUCUCGUAAUCUGGACUGAGUACACUCUAAAGCCUUGCUUAGCGAGGAUCUACUGGAGGGCAAGUCUGGUGCCAGCAGCCGCGGUAAUUCCAGCUCCAGCAGCGUAUACUAAAGUUGUUGCAGUUAAAAAGCUCGUAGUCGGAUGUGGGUGAAUCGUAGAGAGCUUUGUCGGUGCGUCCGCAUCCGCGGACGACUACUGACUGGCUCGACCUUGCGGCUAGUGCGUCGGGCCCCCGGGUCUGGCGCGCUAGUUGCUGUUACUUUGAAAAAAUGAGAGUGUUCAAGACGGGCUGUGUCAGCUUGAAUCUUAAAGCAUGGAAUAAUGGAAGAUGAUCCGACGGCCGCCGGUCGUGGGGUCCGCCCCUUUGCGGGGGUGGGCUUUCAUGGUCGGUGGACUGUAGGAUAAUGAUGAAGAGAGACGGUUGGGGGCAUUCGUAUUGCGUCGCGAGAGGUGAAAUUCUUGGACCGUCGCAAGACGAACUGGUGCGAAAGCGUUUGCCAAGGACGUUUUCAUUGAUCGAGAGCGAAAGUCAGAGGCUCGAAGACGAUCAGAUACCGUCGUAGUUCUGACCGUAAACGAUGUCGACCGGGGCUCAGCGGAUUCGUCGUUGUCUCGUGAAGAGACUGGUGACACCGCUGGUACCCUUCCCCUUGGUUCGGGAAACCUUUGAGUGUUUGGAUUCCGGGGGGAGUAUGGUUGCAAAGCUGAAACUUAAAGGAAUUGACGGAAGGGCACCACCAGGAGUGGAGCCUGCGGCUUAAUUUGACUCAACACGGGAAAUCUCACCCGGCCCGGACACCGUGAGGAUUGACAGAUUGAGAGCUCUUUCUCGAUUCGGUGGAUGGUGGUGCAUGGCCGUUCUUAGUUGGUGGAGUGAUUUGUCUGGUUGAUUCCGAUAACGAACGAGACUCUAGCCUGCUAACUAGUGUUCACCUCGCGUCCACUGCACGUGCGACGAGUUCGAGGUGAGCUACCGCCCCCCCGGGGGUGACUUCUUAGAGGGACAAGCGGUUUUUGAAGCCGCACGAGAUUGAGCGAUAACAGGUCUGUGAUGCCCUUAGAUGUCCGGGGCCGCACGCGCGCUACACUGUAGAUCGCAGCGAGUGUCGAACCUGUCCCUCCCGUAGCCGGGUGGGUAAACCAUUGAAAGAUCGAACGUGGCUUGGGAUCGGGCCUUGAAAUUAUUGCCCGUGAACGAGGAAUUCCCAGUAAGCGCGAGUCAUAAGCUGGCGUUGAUUACGUCCCUGCCCUUUGUACACACCGCCCGUCGCUACUACCGAUUGGACGGUUUAGCGAGGCCCUCGGAUCGGUACCAGGACCCCGCGAGGGGCCACUGGAAACCGAGAAGGCGGUCGAACUUGACCGUCUAGAGGAAGUAAAAGUCGUAACAAGGUUUCCGUAGGUGAAC